This 68-nucleotide transfer RNA is filed under the name Leptomithrax sp. QNL-2021. Its description in RNAcentral is "tRNA-Leu". Lineage: Eukaryota; Metazoa; Arthropoda; Malacostraca; Decapoda; Majidae. The record is from RNAcentral.
ACUACUUUGUCAGAAAAAUGUGCUAGGUUUAGAGUUUAGUUAUAUAGAAAGAGAUUCUAUAAGUAGUA